GCUCAGGACGAACGCUGGCGGCGUGCCUAAUACAUGCAAGUCGAGCGGACAGAAGGGAGCUUGCUCCCGGAUGUUAGCGGCGGACGGGUGAGUAACACGUGGGUAACCUGCCUGUAAGACUGGGAUAACUCCGGGAAACCGGAGCUAAUACCGGAUAGUUCCUUGAACCGCAUGGUUCAAGGAUGAAAGACGGUUUCGGCUGUCACUUACAGAUGGACCCGCGGCGCAUUAGCUAGUUGGUGAGGUAACGGCUCACCAAGGCGACGAUGCGUAGCCGACCUGAGAGGGUGAUCGGCCACACUGGGACUGAGACACGGCCCAGACUCCUACGGGAGGCAGCAGUAGGGAAUCUUCCGCAAUGGACGAAAGUCUGACGGAGCAACGCCGCGUGAGUGAUGAAGGUUUUCGGAUCGUAAAGCUCUGUUGUUAGGGAAGAACAAGUGCAAGAGUAACUGCUUGCACCUUGACGGUACCUAACCAGAAAGCCACGGCUAACUACGUGCCAGCAGCCGCGGUAAUACGUAGGUGGCAAGCGUUGUCCGGAAUUAUUGGGCGUAAAGGGCUCGCAGGCGGUUUCUUAAGUCUGAUGUGAAAGCCCCCGGCUCAACCGGGGAGGGUCAUUGGAAACUGGGAAACUUGAGUGCAGAAGAGGAGAGUGGAAUUCCACGUGUAGCGGUGAAAUGCGUAGAGAUGUGGAGGAACACCAGUGGCGAAGGCGACUCUCUGGUCUGUAACUGACGCUGAGGAGCGAAAGCGUGGGGAGCGAACAGGAUUAGAUACCCUGGUAGUCCACGCCGUAAACGAUGAGUGCUAAGUGUUAGGGGGUUUCCGCCCCUUAGUGCUGCAGCUAACGCAUUAAGCACUCCGCCUGGGGAGUACGGUCGCAAGACUGAAACUCAAAGGAAUUGACGGGGGCCCGCACAAGCGGUGGAGCAUGUGGUUUAAUUCGAAGCAACGCGAAGAACCUUACCAGGUCUUGACAUCCUCUGACAACCCUAGAGAUAGGGCUUUCCCUUCUGGGACAGAGUGACAGGUGGUGCAUGGUUGUCGUCAGCUCGUGUCGUGAGAUGUUGGGUUAAGUCCCGCAACGAGCGCAACCCUUGAUCUUAGUUGCCAGCAUUCAGUUGGGCACUCUAAGGUGACUGCCGGUGACAAACCGGANGAAGGUGGGGAUGACGUCAAAUCAUCAUGCCCCUUAUGACCUGGGCUACACACGUGCUACAAUGGACAGAACAAAGGGCUGCGAGACCGCAAGGUUUAGCCAAUCCCACAAAUCUGUUCUCAGU
This 1286-nucleotide ribosomal RNA is filed under the name Bacillus pumilus. RNAcentral describes it as "bacterial SSU rRNA". It matches the Rfam family "Bacterial small subunit ribosomal RNA", at positions 22 to 1292 of the family's 1533-position model. The record is from RNAcentral. Lineage: Bacteria; Bacillati; Bacillota; Bacilli; Caryophanales; Bacillaceae.